Molecule: ribosomal RNA, 261 nt
Filed under: uncultured bacterium
Lineage: Bacteria
Description: partial 16S ribosomal RNA
Rfam family: Bacterial small subunit ribosomal RNA
Source: RNAcentral
AACGAACGCUGGCGGCAUGCCUAACACAUGCAAGUCGAACGCUCCGCAAGGGGAGUGGCGAACGGGUGAGUAACGCGUGGGAACCUGCCCAGUAGUUGGGGGAUAACCGCGGGAAACUGCGGCUAAUACCGAAUACGCCCUAGGGGAAAGGAUUUAUCGCUAUUGGAGGGGCCCGGCGUCGGAUUAGCUGGUUGGUGAGGUAACGGCUCACCAAGGCGACGAUCCGUAGCUGGUCUGAGAGGAUGAUCAGCCACACUGGGA